This is a long non-coding RNA of Nomascus leucogenys (northern white-cheeked gibbon), 114 nucleotides long. RefSeq lists it as uncharacterized. NCBI's taxonomy places the organism in Eukaryota, Metazoa, Chordata, Mammalia, Primates, Hylobatidae. The record is from RefSeq and is a predicted model, not a curated record. The transcript is spliced from 3 exons.
UUUCCCCUAUAUUUCCUUCUAUUAGUUUUGUAGUUUGGGGUCUUACAUUUGGUCUUUGAUCCAUUUUGAGUUGAUUUUUGUAUAGGAUGAGAGACAGGAGCCUACAUUCAUUCA